Long non-coding RNA from Antechinus flavipes (yellow-footed antechinus), 1561 nucleotides. RefSeq lists it as uncharacterized. The record is from RefSeq and is a predicted model, not a curated record. The transcript has 3 exons. Lineage: Eukaryota; Metazoa; Chordata; Mammalia; Dasyuromorphia; Dasyuridae.
AUUGUGCAUUCCAUACACCCUCCGAAGCUGAGAUGCAACAAAGUAUGGAUCGAUUCUCUGCUUCUUGUGCUAAUUUUGACCUAACAAAACACCAAGAAGACACAGGUCCUCCAUCAGCCAACACUACACUAUCCAUAUGUGGAACCAUCAGUUCCAGAAAAUGGACAAAGUUGGCAUUGAUUCAUUCCACGGGAAUGUCUUUGUUACUCAAGCCAUUGUAACAAAGAUUGGCCUUGAUCUGUCCUUUGGAAGGAUGGAGAUUGCCUGGAAAAUCCUAUACCUCAUUUUUCUUCACUCCCAGUUAAUCAUAAAUAAAGCUUGCACAUGCAGUCUUAGGAUGUCAGGAAAACCCAUUCCUACCUUGAAGGAAAGCAGAAGGUUGUGACCAGAGGCUGACUACCCUGCUUCUUCAGAGAGAAGGGAUGCUGGGCUAGAAUUAUACAUCUGCUUCCUAAAAUAUUGUUGCGUUUGAAUAAGUACAUAAGUAGUUCAAUCUGAUGUCUGUAACAUAGCAAACUUGAGAUAAGGACAUGAAAGGGAUUGCCAACUUCUUUAUAUAUCAGCUUCUUCCCAGACUCUUUUUCUUUUGUUGUUGUUAUUUGUCCUUCACUUUCUUUUUUUUUUUUUUUUUUUUACUAUUUUUGUUUUUCAUAGUUACACUUAAAACAAUUUUUUUACAUUCCUUUUUUAAAACUUUACGUUUUAGAUUCUCUCCCUUCCUUCCUCCCACCCCCACUCAUUGAGAAAGCAAAAGUGAAGUUGUGGAAAACAUUUCCAUAAAACAGAUUCUUUCUCCUUUCAUGGAAUCAAUGUCUUAUUAGACAAAAUACAUUUUUUUUCUAUUUGGCUUUUACCAAUUUUACGUCAUGUAGCUAAGGGGGUACUAAGUAAAUAAUGAGGAGAAUGUCCCAUACAAUUGGUCGUUUGAGCUGAGGAUUACAUGUAUGUUAUCCUGAAAAGGGACCAUAGACUUCACAAGAUGGCUACAGAAGUUCAUAACAUAGAAAAGUUAACCCUUCCAUGCUUCAUUCUUAAAUAUAGUGAACCUUUUAUAAUAUUUAAGUCAUUGGGGGGAAAAAAAAAACUCAUGCUCUUAUUUUAUUUUGAAUAGAUAUGCCUGGCACUCAGGAAGCAUGUAAUAAAUAGAUUUUUGUGUGUGUUUCAAGGACUGGCCUUCACAUCCAUUCAUGCUUACAGAAAACAUUUAAAUUAAACCAUUGGAAUCUAUUUGAUUCUCAGUAACAGAUUACACUGAUUUUUCACCUUCGAUGAAUUUUUAGUCACAAUUUUAACCUGAGAACAAUAACUUGAAUUUGUAUAGUACUUUAUGAUUACAGAAUGUUUUGUAUGCAUCAUGUUAACUGAUCAUAGGAUUUAGAGUUGAUAAGACCCUUAGAGAUCAUCUUAAACUAUUUUGCUGAUAAAGAAACUGAGGCCUAGGAAACUUAAACUCACUGACUCUAAACUUAAUGCUCUUUCUACUCCAUCAUGCUUCCUAGAUGAUAAACCUCUGUUAAUAUUCAAUAAAUAAACUGAAAAUAUCAAUGGAUAAUAAUUAAAA